UUAUAAUAUCCAUUAACCCAAUAAUCAAGUGGUCGGACACAUCGACUAUAUAUAUUUGGGUGAAAACAGUCUAAAAUCAUUCGCUUAUUGAAGUUUCUCAGUGGAGUUUCAAAUUCUUUACCGUAAAGAAAUUACAAAUUGAGCAAAAAUGAAUUAUCGUCUCGGAUUUUGUCUGAUGCUGGUUCUCUUUGUGACUGCUUUCAGUGUUGAGGGUAGAAAACAAGGUGCCAACCGUAUGUACCAAAAAGAUUGUGCCUAUCCCAACGGGUGUGUUCCUUAUUCAACAGUAUGUGAAGGACAAAAUGAGAAAUGUUCGCCAGGUUAUAGGUGCUGCAGAGUUGCCAAUCUUUGAUAGUCUCAACAGUUAGUAGUAGACUCAAAAGAUAAAAAAAGGAAAAAUAAAAAUAGAAGGAAAAAUG
Long non-coding RNA from Dendronephthya gigantea, 419 nucleotides. RefSeq lists it as uncharacterized. The record is from RefSeq and is a predicted model, not a curated record. Lineage: Eukaryota; Metazoa; Cnidaria; Anthozoa; Malacalcyonacea; Nephtheidae. The transcript has 4 exons.